CGGUCCAGACUCCUACGGGAGGCAGCAGUAGGGAAUCUUCCGCAAUGGGCGAAAGCCUGACGGAGCAACGCCGCGUGAGUGAUGAAGGUCUUCGGAUCGUAAAGCUCUGUUGUUAGGGAAGAACAAAUGUGUAAGUAACUGUGCACAUCUUGACGGUACCUAACCAGAAAGCCACGGCUAACUACGUGCCAGCAGCCGCGGUAAUACGUAGGUGGCAAGCGUUAUCCGGAAUUAUUGGGCGUAAAGCGCGCGUAGGCGGUUUUUUAAGUCUGAUGUGAAAGCCC
RNAcentral lists this ribosomal RNA (284 nucleotides) under Staphylococcus pseudintermedius. RNAcentral's name for it is "partial 16S ribosomal RNA". It matches the Rfam family "Bacterial small subunit ribosomal RNA", at positions 327 to 603 of the family's 1533-position model. Lineage: Bacteria; Bacillati; Bacillota; Bacilli; Caryophanales; Staphylococcaceae. The record is from RNAcentral.